Molecule: ribosomal RNA, 253 nt
Filed under: uncultured bacterium
Lineage: Bacteria
Description: partial 16S ribosomal RNA
Rfam family: Bacterial small subunit ribosomal RNA
Source: RNAcentral
UACGUAGGGCGCAAGCGUUGUCCGGAAUUAUUGGGCGUAAAGAGCUCGUAGGCGGUUUGUCGCGUCUGCUGUGAAAUCCCGAGGCUCAACCUCGGGCUUGCAGUGGGUACGGGCAGACUAGAGUGCGGUAGGGGAGACUGGAAUUCCUGGUGUAGCGGUGGAAUGCGCAGAUAUCAGGAGGAACACCGAUGGCGAAAGCAGGUCUCUGGGCCGCAACUGACGCUGAGGAGCGAAAGCAUGGGGAGCGAACAGG